RNAcentral lists this ribosomal RNA (485 nucleotides) under uncultured bacterium. RNAcentral's name for it is "partial 16S ribosomal RNA". It matches the Rfam family "Bacterial small subunit ribosomal RNA", at positions 30 to 506 of the family's 1533-position model. The record is from RNAcentral.
AUUGAACGCUGGCGGCAUGCCUUACACAUGCAAGUCGAACGGCAGCACGGGUGCUUGCACCUGGUGGCGAGUGGCGAACGGGUGAGUAAUACAUCGGAACAUGUCCUGUAGUGGGGGAUAGCCCGGCGAAAGCCGGAUUAAUACCGCAUACGAUCUACGGAUGAAAGCGGGGGACCUUCGGGCCUCGCGCUAUAGGGUUGGCCGAUGGCUGAUUAGCUAGUUGGUGGGGUAAAGGCCUACCAAGGCGACGAUCAGUAGCUGGUCUGAGAGGACGACCAGCCACACUGGGACUGAGAUACGGCCCAGACUCCUACGGGAGGCAGCAGUGGGGAAUUUUGGACAAUGGGCGAAAGCCUGAUCCAGCAAUGCCGCGUGUGUGAAGAAGGCCUUCGGGUUGUAAAGCACUUUUGUCCGGAAAGAAAUCCUUGGCCCUAAUACGGUCGGGGGAUGACGGUACCGGAAGAAUAAGCACCGGCUAACUACGU